Non-coding RNA from Ameiurus melas (black bullhead), 74 nucleotides. NCBI's taxonomy places the organism in Eukaryota, Metazoa, Chordata, Actinopteri, Siluriformes, Ictaluridae. The record is from the annotation of a GenBank genome assembly.
UACUUGGUAGCUCAGUGGCUAAGAUUUUGGACUACUGAUCGAAAGGUUGUGAGUUCAAAUCCCAACACUGCUAU